RNAcentral lists this long non-coding RNA (346 nucleotides) under Gossypium raimondii (Peruvian cotton). RNAcentral describes it as "long non-coding RNA (GRAI_LNC009327)". Lineage: Eukaryota; Viridiplantae; Streptophyta; Magnoliopsida; Malvales; Malvaceae. The record is from RNAcentral.
CUUCAGCGAGAUUAAGAUGAUGAAUCGUGGGUCUGCGGUUGGGUGUGGUAGAAGAUGAUUUCAAGCGUUUUUCGAAUUUAAUAUUGUUGGGUGUGGUAGAAGAUGAUGAAUAGUGGGUCUGUGGUUGGGUUUGAGAUUGAGAUUGAUUAUUUUGAGAAUAAAAAGCCUUAAUCUGAGCACGAAGCUCCUCAAAGAUAUGUUGGCCUUUCCGGUUGAAGAACCGCCGUAGAUGGAUGAGCUGCCGAGAGCCGACGGGCCUGGAUUGGGUUGGAGAUGAUUGUAGUCUCUCUUCAUGGUUUGCUAAUUUCUUUUUCUUUUCUUUCAAGUUUGGGGAUUAGAGAAAUCU